This 505-nucleotide ribosomal RNA is filed under the name Macoma takahokoensis. RNAcentral's name for it is "partial 16S ribosomal RNA". It matches the Rfam family "Bacterial large subunit ribosomal RNA", at positions 1796 to 2608 of the family's 2925-position model. Lineage: Eukaryota; Metazoa; Mollusca; Bivalvia; Cardiida; Tellinidae. The record is from RNAcentral.
UCGCCUGUUUAUCAAAAACAUGGCUUUCUGAAAUUUAUUAAUAGGAGGUCUGGCCUGCCCGGUGGAGAAAGUCUCAACGGUCGCAGCUCCAACUGUGCGAAGGUAGCGUAAUAGGUCGUCCCUUAAUUAGGGGAAAGUAUGAAUGGUCGGAUGUUGGAAAGGCUUUAUUAAAGAGAUAGGUUGAAUUUUACUUUCUAGUGCAAAGGCUGGAAUUUCGUUAUUAGACGAGAAGACCCUGUUGAGCUUGGUAAGGCUAGUCCUUUUAGGAUUAGAGCUAUGUUUGUUCGGGGCUGAAGGGAAGGGAGAUAAUGCCUUCUAUGUUGUAUAAAAGAUCCAAUUUGAUUGAUUGGUGGAAGAUAGUUACCACAGGGAUAACAGCGCAAUCAUUCUGAUAAGGCCAUAUUUAAGGAGUGGUUUGCGACCUCCAUGUUGAAUCAAAAUUUCUACUACGUGUAGCAGCUUAUCAAGUGGGACUGUUCGUCCUUUAAAAUUUUACGUGAUCUGA